RNAcentral lists this RNase P RNA (312 nucleotides) under Pseudomonadota bacterium. Its description in RNAcentral is "RNase P RNA component class A". It matches the Rfam family "Bacterial RNase P class A". Rfam says of the family: Ribonuclease P (RNase P) is a ubiquitous endoribonuclease, found in archaea, bacteria and eukarya as well as chloroplasts and mitochondria. RNAcentral also lists the same sequence under 1 other name. The record is from RNAcentral. Lineage: Bacteria; Pseudomonadati; Pseudomonadota.
GAGGUGGCCCAAGAGACUGCCCUUUAAAGGGAGGAAAGUCCGGCCACCCAUUUGGAGCUGGCGAAAGCCAGAAAAAAGUAAUUUUUUCUAGGAAUCACAGAGACGAAGUAAGGUGAAACGUAUCUAAUAGCCAAGAAAAUCUUUUCUUGGUUAUUAGAUGAAAGCUUUAGGGUGACCUAAAGCUUUUGGUUCCUAGCUCUUGGGUGCAAGGCCGUGUAGCUUUUAAGCUACGAGCCGCUUGAGUUAAAAAGUAAUUUUUAACCCAGAGUUAUAGUCUCAUAAACAGAAGCCGGCUUAUGGGCCACCUCAGUA